ACAACCUUCAGCCCGUAGUAGAUGGAAAAAGGACAUGUCUUCCCUUUGGAGGCAAUCAGUGGGUGCAGUCAGGGGAGACCUGGAUGGCAGGAGGAUGGGAGAGUAGCUUCUGAUUUACCUGUUGGGAACAUUCCAUGUGGACGGAGUACAAUGCGUGGCCUUCGGAGCCUGGCUCCUUUCACGACCAUAGCGUCCCCAGGCCUCAUCAUGUUUCAGUACCCAGGUCCUUUCUAUGGCUGAAUAAUAUUCCGUGGGAUGGACACACGGCAGGUGUUUGUAGAGUCAUUCCCUGAUGGGCCUUCGGGGUGAUUCCACUGUUGGGACACCGUGACUGUCACAGAGGAGAAAGAGAGAGAGGCAGAGACAUAGGCAGAGGGAGAAGCAGGCU
Canis lupus familiaris (dog) is the source of this 388-nucleotide long non-coding RNA. RefSeq lists it as uncharacterized. The transcript has 3 exons. The record is from RefSeq and is a predicted model, not a curated record. NCBI's taxonomy places the organism in Eukaryota, Metazoa, Chordata, Mammalia, Carnivora, Canidae.